Lolium perenne is the source of this 912-nucleotide long non-coding RNA. RefSeq lists it as uncharacterized. NCBI's taxonomy places the organism in Eukaryota, Viridiplantae, Streptophyta, Magnoliopsida, Poales, Poaceae. The record is from RefSeq and is a predicted model, not a curated record.
CCUCCUCUUCCCUCGCCCCUCUCUCUUGGAGAACCUGCUCGGAGUUCCUGAUGACACGGUCGACAGCGGCAGCGCCGCCAUCUCCACCUCGGGCAUGCCCUGCUGAGAUCCUCGACGGAGAAGUUCUUCCUCCACAGCCUGAUGUUGCUCCGUCCCUUCCCUCGCCAACUGCAGCCAGCGUUUCGUCUCCGUCAACUUCGGGGAGGCCUGCAUCUUCGCUGCGCCCUUUCCUCUCCCCCAAGAACAAAGUGCAUCUCGAGGCUACAAGUGGAAGAACCAACAUCUCUCCAAGGAAUGGAUAACUUCCUAAUGACCCUGAAGAUCAUGUUCCCAAGAUGCUAUCCAAUGCUAGGGAGGGAGCUCCUCCCAGCAUGCGAGGGCUCGGAAAGGGCACCUGGGGCGAACUUGCCGAUUGGGUAUCGGGCGGCAUCGCUGGAACGGUGCCCUUGGAGUGCAUCACCAUGAGCCACUCAUUAAUGUCAAGUUCCGACCUGCGGGAGGCGAGAGCAGUUGCGGCUAGCGUGGAGGCGGACGGCGGCAUGGCCACGGAGGCCACCAACACAGGCAUGGGGAGGAGCGAUGGAAGCAUCGGGAACAGCGGCACCAUGAUGUCAGCAGGCCCAGCCCCUGUAUGCGAACGGAGGGAUGGGGAGAGGGCGACGAGGGCGACGAGGGGAGGCCCGACCUGGCUUCAGAGGUUCGAGAGGACGUCGGGGAAAGGAGAUCAUGCACCAACCAUGGUGCUGUCAUGUUGCAGCUACUGAACAUACAACCUACCUAUGUGUUUUUUUUUCCAAGGGAAGUUAGCUAUAUGGUGUUGGAUCAGGUUCAGAUCCCUCUGGUCUUAAAAGUUGCUCUGUUCCUAAAUGUUGUGAAUGUAUGAACUACGAAGCAGCCAUUUUCUUGUUCAAA